RNAcentral lists this transfer RNA (73 nucleotides) under Aspergillus ruber CBS 135680. RNAcentral's name for it is "tRNA-Thr (CGT) (tRNA-Thr-CGT-2-1)". It matches the Rfam family "tRNA". Rfam says of the family: Transfer RNA (tRNA) molecules are approximately 80 nucleotides in length. Their secondary structure includes four short double-helical elements and three loops (D, anti-codon, and T loops). The record is from RNAcentral. Lineage: Eukaryota; Fungi; Ascomycota; Eurotiomycetes; Eurotiales; Aspergillaceae.
GCGCGAGUUGUCUAGUGGUUAUGAUGUCGCACUCGUAAUGCGAAGGUCGGGAGUUCGAAUCUCCUUUCGCGCA